RNAcentral lists this ribosomal RNA (253 nucleotides) under uncultured bacterium. Its description in RNAcentral is "partial 16S ribosomal RNA". It matches the Rfam family "Bacterial small subunit ribosomal RNA", at positions 524 to 776 of the family's 1533-position model. The record is from RNAcentral.
UACAGAGGGGGCAAGCGUUGUUCGGAAUUACUGGGCGUAAAGGGCGCGUAGGCGGCUUGUUAAGUCGGACGUGAAAUCCCCGGGCUCAACCCGGGAACUGCGUCCGAUACUGGCAGGCUUGAAUCCGGGAGAGGGAUGUGGAAUUCCAGGUGUAGCGGUGAAAUGCGUAGAUAUCUGGAGGAACACCGGUGGCGAAGGCGGCAUCCUGGACCGGCAUUGACGCUGAGGCGCGAAAGCCAGGGGAGCAAACGGG